This is a long non-coding RNA of Zeugodacus cucurbitae (melon fly), 674 nucleotides long. RefSeq lists it as uncharacterized. The record is from RefSeq and is a predicted model, not a curated record. The transcript has 3 exons. Lineage: Eukaryota; Metazoa; Arthropoda; Insecta; Diptera; Tephritidae.
AGCAAUGAAGAUAUCGGAAUAAAACUUUACACAAAUACUGUGAAAAAAUUGGACAUUGAAAUCUGACAAUAACUUUUCAAUGCCCCGGAUAUGAAUAUGUAGAACUCAGUGACUUAGUGUAACUUUUCACCGAAAAUAUAGAAAACGAAGUGCUUCUACAUUGAAAAUACUAACAGAGAAGUACUUAGCUUUAAGUGCUAUUUAUACGGUAUACUGGGACUGGGAUUAACUGAGUGGUUUAUCCUCUUACUUUGGUUGAGUCUGUUGCCUAUCAAAUCUAUCUUCUUUAAACCGAUUGACUGCCAAUUAAUGAGCUGUACACAUAAGUAUUUCAUAGAGCCGUGAUAGGUGGCGUAUUGUUUGUAUUCGCUGUUGGAACGUCUAAGCAAUCAGGUGAACGAAAUCCAAAGUAGGUACUUAAUGGUACUAGAAGUACAUAUAUUAUAUAUGAGUAUAAUCAUGCAUUGCUAUUUAUUUGCCAAAUUUGUAGAUUUCUUUUCAAAUUCAUUUCAUUUUGAUUAGGCAUUUUUCGUGCAAUUGUUGCGAGUCAAGGCCUCUUGUUUUGCCUUGUGAUUUCAUUUGUAUACCUUUUUAUGAGUGUUUAUGUAUCAUAAGCUGAGUUUAGAUGUUUAAGGUUAAUAUAAUAUAUAACAGACAGUUAUAUGGACCCUCAA